AGUAGUUAUCAGGGACUGGAGAGAGGGAAGAAUGAGAAGUGACUACUUCAUGGAUACAAGGUUUUCUCUGGGGGUGAUGAAAAUAUUUUGACAUCUGAUAAAGGUGGUGGUAGUACAGCACUGUGAAUGUACCAAUUGCCACUGAAUUGUGCAUUUUAAAGUGAUUGAUUUUAUGUGGAACAAAUUUCACUUUAAUUAUAAAAAGUGAAUAAACUUUUAGAAGCUAACCUUGGAAGAAGGUAGAGACUGGAAGGGAUCACAAGAAAGGCUUCUGGGAUGUUGGUUGAUUUCUCUAAGAAGUACAUGCUGAAAUGAAGAUAAGAGUACAAAAUAUUUAUCGGAGAGUAGUAACACAGAGGAGACACAGGAUUUGGCAGAAACACUAAACCAUGGUGAAGACCGGCUAAAGUCUCUUUGUCCAAAGGGGAGCUCUAAAGUAAAUAUGAGCCAUUAAGGGAGCCCCACACUGGAUGGAAAUGGCCAAGCCUUUUUACAACCACCUUCUCCUUGAGACACUGCCUGCAAUUCACCCUGGGAAAGCAAAACCUCAACUGUUUCUGCCUCAUUCAUUCUUUGUCAGUGCCGUAAGAAGAUUGAGAUUUCAGCUUGUAACUGUUGAAGCAAAACCUAAAGUGGUUAAUAAUGGGAGUUUGUCACAACUAUCUUAACACAAAUAUAAAAUAUUUGCAUGAA
RNAcentral lists this long non-coding RNA (693 nucleotides) under Homo sapiens (human). RNAcentral's name for it is "HSALNT0343952". The record is from RNAcentral. Lineage: Eukaryota; Metazoa; Chordata; Mammalia; Primates; Hominidae.